GCCGGUGAGGGUGGAGACGGGGCAAGCUGCAGGCAGCGCGGCCACAGGGCGGGUGCCCCCAAGUGCUCGGCCCCUCAGGAAGUGCCAUGUCACAUAAAUGCCCCUCUCUGAUGCAUGGGCGGGGCCGGGCAAUGACCACACCAGGUGAAGUGGCCUUCGAUCUGUCAGAGACAAUCUGGGGUGGCGUGAGACAGACGUGGAAGGGAGCUGGCCUCUGGGCUCUGGGGUGAGCAGGAAAGGAAAUGGAGGAGGAAGAGAGGCAAGGGGGCUCCGGGGGCCCCUGCAGAGGGCACUGGAUACCCACUGAGAAGUCUUGGGAGUAAGUUGGCCCCGUCUCUCGGACCCUCGCUGUGUCCGGACCAGCCUUCCACACGUGGUCUGAACCUGUCUGCACCUCUGGCCAGCGUGGGGGCAAAGCCCCAUCUCCUUAUGGUCCCUGGACUGCAUGAUGUUGGCCCCAGAGUGGAAGCUCCUCUGAGCUCCUUAUACAAACCACGCACAAGCAACACGCCCUUUGCUGUAGGUGUCGCAAAGGAGGGUCUACCGGAACCUGCUCCAGAGCCGUCUCCCUGAGCUCACCCCAGGCUUUCUCCACCUGCUGGCUUCUGCCUCUCUCCCUCCUGCCCUGCCUUCUCUUCCUCUCCUCCCUUUUCAGGAGCAAGACAUCAACAUUUUGCCUUCUGCCUCCCGCAGCGUACCUCAUUUUUUUGAACCAAGCCAGGCUCUUCCAGGGAUUGUAGUGAAUGCGAGUUUGCUUCAUCUAGUUGCAUCCAUGGUUGAAAGGCCCAGAAUGGGCAAGCGACCCGCCCGAGGUCCCACGUUGAGCACGGGGCCUUGUAUCUGUCUUGAACCUACAUGCACGGGUCUCCGCUUCUGCCCGGCUCCCUCCGAACCACAUCCAGCUGCAUUCUCUUCUGAAUCGGGGGUCUGCACAGAGACUGGCACAUAGUAGGUGUGCAGUCAGCACCCGUGAAUGAAGGAAUGAAUGAAUGAACAAGGUACGGAGGAGAGGGUGAGUGUGUCUACGUGGGGAGAUGUCAGGAAUCAUAUGGGGCGGGAGGUGGUGUUCAAAGUGGGAUUUAAAGGGUUAAUAGGAGCUUUCUGGAUGACAGCUGUGGGGGAAGAGGCUGGAAAAGACAGCAGAGACUAGGUUGAAAAAGGCUUAACUAUCAGACUAAAAAUUGGGAUUUUUAAAUUAUUUCUCAUGCCUCUUUAUUUUGAGAGAGAGGGAGAGAGAGAAAGUGUGAGCAGGAAAGGGGCAGAGAGAGAUGUGGAUGUAAAAUCCAAAGUAGGCUCUGUGCUGACAGCAGCAAGCCCGGUGUGGGGCUCAAACUCAUGAACCAAAACGCAAGAACGUGACCUGAGCUGAAGCCAGAUA
This is a long non-coding RNA of Neofelis nebulosa (Clouded leopard), 1378 nucleotides long. RefSeq lists it as uncharacterized. The transcript is spliced from 4 exons. NCBI's taxonomy places the organism in Eukaryota, Metazoa, Chordata, Mammalia, Carnivora, Felidae. The record is from RefSeq and is a predicted model, not a curated record.